This is a long non-coding RNA of Cercocebus atys (sooty mangabey), 2156 nucleotides long. RefSeq lists it as uncharacterized. The transcript has 3 exons. The record is from RefSeq and is a predicted model, not a curated record. Lineage: Eukaryota; Metazoa; Chordata; Mammalia; Primates; Cercopithecidae.
AAGGAGAAGGGAUCAGGAGUGGGGAUCUUAGACAAAAGACGAAAACAGAAAUAAAACAAGAGACAGGCACAGCUCACAACACACUAGGAACCAAGACAUAUGAGCAGCUCACUCCUAGAAGCCAACAUGCAUAGCUCUACAAUUCUCUAAUGACUUCUUCCUAUGGAGACAGAAUGACUCAAAACUAAACAGAACAGCAGUCUCUAGUAAUCACAAAAUGUAUAUUGCUGCAUGUUCUGGUCAAAUGACUUGGCAAAAAUCCAGGGAAUCUUUUGAAAUGUCUGUCAGCCCCUUGUCCUGGUUCCAGGCCAGCCUCGGGAGCCACUUUUGGUUCAGGGUGGAGAGAAUAUGGCACAACAGGGAGAGCCUCAUAAAUGCAAUUGCCAAUGGGCACAUGUACCCAAGGCGGAGUCACGUGCAGUCUACAAGGAACCCUUUCCUUCUUGUGGUUUUGGCAGUCAGUACUUGAGAUUAUUCUUUAACUCAUUCUUGUUAGCUAAGAGAAAUAGGUAUAUUAACCGCCUCACUGGUAAAGAAAGAAGACAGCUUCCACUUGAAUUGCAAUUCAAUUGCCCAGGGAAUAAAUCCACCCCAAAUUUGGGAAAACUUUCUAAGCUUUAAAAUAUCCAUCUGGAAGGCCGGAUCCUGCUCCUGCCGGCCAUCCAGAUCCCACGGCUCUGCCUUGUAUCUCUAUGACCCUGUAAACUUCUGGCUUCUUCUUUUCUCGGCAUUCUAUUCAGGCUGGAAAGACCUUUCCAUAAACCAAACCCAGGACUGGUUGCUCCUUGAAACUGCUGGUGCACAGGCACAAAGGCCUAAAGAUGGCCACAUGGGGCUGUCUUUUCAUUGUAGUUCAGUCAGAAUCUCAGUUUCUGUUCGUGGAGUUCUAAAAGGAAAUCUUUGCUUUUUUUUCUGCUCCAUUCCAGGGAAUCAGUUUGGAAAGUUCUGUCCAUCUGCCCUGUGUCCUACAACUGAGGAGCUGAGGAUAGUUAGAGGCACUCUCCGUCAGAAUGGAGUUUGUGUCCAUCAUGAUGCAGAAGCUGAAGUUUGGAGAAGACACAUGGCAUGUUCACAGUUACACGCCAAAGGAAUUCCAGGCUCGUGGGAAACCUACUCUUGCCUCCUGAAAUUACACCAUGCCAAUGGCUGCCAGACCAUCUCCCUGGAAAGCUGGCCCUGUUUUCCUGCCUGUGAAGUGUAGGUCUUCUUCAUGCCAUGACUACACACCGGUUUGGGGAGCAAAGUAAGUGUCUUCAGGUAGAUAGUACAAAGUAUGGUGUAUCUGUGCAGGUCUAUCUGCUAUAGGAUAAUACAUUGAGCAAAGAAUUUCACUGUAGAGCAUGCUUUAGUCCCCAACUGUCCUCCAAAGCAAGCAAUAAAUCUUAACAAGAAGAGAAAUAAUGACUAGGAAGAAGUACAACGUGGGUAGGAGGGGUGUUUUAAAGAAUGCCUGAAGACAAAUGUCAUGUUCUAGAUGCUUAGGAUGAAUCCCUGUAUAUUUAGAAUCCCACCCUCAGCUAGCAACACACAUGUUAUUAUCCCACUGUCACUGGAAACAUUUAAGAGCAAAAGAAAAAUUUCUCUGGAAAUGAAGUAGUACAAUAGCUCUUGAGGUCUUAUAAUUAAAGGAUAUAUUUGCUCAAGGGGAAAACAACCAAAUCAAUUUUAAAAGGCAACAGCUGAGUAAAAGCAAGUUCUUUGUCCAUUAGGGGUUGUAAAAGGAAAAUUAUAACCUGGCACCGCCUUCAGACAGCCUUUGAUGCUCAGUCAUUCUACUUGCUGUUGAGCUUCUCUGUAACAAUCCACUUAGAAAAAAACCCAAGAAAUAAGCCUUGGUAAGCUCAUAAAGUUAGAGUGUCUUCCGCAGAAUUGCACUAUACUUCUCAAAAUGACUCAGAAAUAUUUAACACUAUAAAUAAAAAAAGAAAUACUUCUGUAUGAAUAUACAAAUUUUUCAGGCUUAGGAUAAUCAUAAAGGUAAAAUAUGCCUGGACCGCAUAUUCUAAGUAAGAAAAAAUGUAUCACUGAAAUGAAAACAGUAAUUAUAUUUCACUGUUUCAUCAAUAUAUUGCUUGUAUUCAUCUACAUCCUAUUUUGUUUAAGAAAAAAAGAGUGAAGGCUGGGUGCAGUGGCUCAUGCCUGUAAUCCCAGCACUU